Molecule: ribosomal RNA, 468 nt
Filed under: uncultured bacterium
Lineage: Bacteria
Description: partial 16S ribosomal RNA
Rfam family: Bacterial small subunit ribosomal RNA
Source: RNAcentral
GACGAACGCUGGCGGCGUGCUUAACACAUGCAAGUCGAACGGAAAGGCCCUGCUUUUGUGGGGUGCUCGAGUGGCGAACGGGUGAGUAACGCGUGAGUAACCUGCCCUUGACUUUGGGAUAACUUCAGGAAACUGGGGCUAAUACCGGAUAGGAGCUCCUGCUGCAUGGUGGGGGUUGGAAAGUUUCGGCGGUUGGGGAUGGACUCGCGGCUUAUCAGCUUGUUGGUGGGGUAGUGGCUUACCAAGGCUUUGACGGGUAGCCGGCCUGAGAGGGUGACCGGCCACAUUGGGACUGAGAUACGGCCCAGACUCCUACGGGAGGCAGCAGUGGGGAAUAUUGCGCAAUGGGCGGAAGCCUGAUGCAGCAACGCCGCGUGCGGGAUGACGGCCUUCGGGUUGUAAACCGCUUUCGCCUGUGACGAAGCGUGAGUGACGGUAAUGGGUAAAGAGGCACCGGCUAACUACGUG